Crotalus tigris (Tiger rattlesnake) is the source of this 5024-nucleotide RNA transcript. It is a transcript of the gene named RAD51 paralog B, with no coding region annotated. NCBI's taxonomy places the organism in Eukaryota, Metazoa, Chordata, Lepidosauria, Squamata, Viperidae. The transcript is spliced from 10 exons. The record is from RefSeq and is a predicted model, not a curated record.
ACCAUUACCCAAUAUGACUUUUCUCGAGUCAUCUAGGUAAUAGAGGUGUAAAUAAUUAGUAGAAUGUGGAUUAUUUAUUAACGUAAUUUUUUUCUUCAGUAUCAGUGGGCUACCAAAUAUAAGAUUUUUGUGGAUUAAAGAAGGUUCAGUCCAUACUACCUAGGUUCCGAAUGAAUGUACAGUUAUGUCUAGCAUCAAUACAUUGUGUUCCAAGUUGUUGCUUGUAACAGAACCUGACUAGUUUCAACUGUUAACUGUGGUACAGAGUAGGGUAACAGCCUGGCUUUUUAGCACUAUUUAUCUGACUUUAUGUGUCUACUUUUAAAAUGCGUAGUACUAUAUUUUAAUUUGCCUUCCAAAUGGUUUAAACUAAACCUGGACACUUUAUGGCCCUUGGCCUUUUGGUUCUCCCUGUCCAGUCCGCCUGAGGUCAGUUGGAAAUUAAAAAUCAAAUGUAAAUAAGGGUGCCGCAGGGAGCAGCAGAAGAAGCCAAGUUGGGUCUGGCUCUGCGCAGUUGCCGUGCACUCCUUCAGCGUGUUGGCAGGCAUGAAAGGGCGAAGAGACAAAUCACUCUUCUGCACCUGUGUAGUGCUCAUCUCUCACCUGGAGCAGCCAGAGUAGUUAAGGUAACAAAGUUUGAGUACAUCAAAUCUGGUUACACUGGUACACCCCUCCACAACAGUUCCAGUUUUUCAUGUGGCUCCUUUGGAAAAUACAUUGUCCAUACCUGAUUUAAACUAUAAUUUUCAUCAGCAAGGGUAGUGGUCAGUCCUUUACAGCUCCAAUUCCAAACAUCUGGUGCAACCCAAAUUAUAGUGACUUUGGUUGGAAACAGUGUAAUCUGAAGAAACCUGAAGUGAAGGCAACUUAGUAGAAUGUGCUAGGCUACAAGAAAAAAAGACACUUGGGUUUGCUUGAAUGAACCCUGAAUAAUGCAAAGUGAGGAAGAAUAAAACAUCUUAAAGAGGAUAUUACACAGGAAGUCAUGGUGGAAAGAGCAGGAACUGUUACUGGACAAGUUAACUUUCUAGCCAAUAACUAUGUGAACAUGGCAAAUAAAAAGCUAAGAAGAGCAGGUUUACCUCAAGAUCUUUGUGAUAGACUAAGUCGACAUCAGAUUAUUACUUGCCGGGACUUCUUAUGUCUUUCCUUCCUGGAAUUAAUGAAAAUAACUGGACAGAGUUACUGGAGUGUCCAGAAACUUUUUCGGACUGUCAGCCAAUCCUGUGCUCCCAGAAUGCAAACGGCUUAUGAAAUGAAAAUGAAAAGAACCACCAAUCCUUCAACAGCAUUUUUGUCAACAACGCUAGAAGAUCUGGAUAAAAUAUUGCAUGGUGGAAUUGCCUGUGAUAGUCUUACAGAGAUAACGGGUCCAUCAGGUUGUGGUAAAACUCAGUUGUGUAUUAUGAUGAGCUUGCUGGCCACACUGCCCACUAACAUGGGAGGCUUGGACGGGGCAGUUAUUUACAUUGAUACAGAAUCUGCAUUCACUGCUGAAAGGCUGGUUGAAAUAGCUCAGCAUCGAUUCCCACAUUAUUUUGCUACAGAAGAAAAGCUGAUUGCAAUGACAAACAAGGUUCUUGUCUAUCAGGAGCUAACCUGUGAUAGCGUACUAAAAAGAAUUAAAUCUUUGGAAGAAGAAAUAAUUUCUAAGAAUGUUAAGCUAAUAAUAGUUGACUCAGUUGCUUCAGUAAUCAGAAAAGAAUUUGAUACAAAGCGUCAAGGUAACCUGAAGGAACGAAGCAAUUUAUUGAGUAAGGAGGCUUCAAUAUUGAAAUACUUGGCUGAAGAGUUUUCAAUACCAGUAAUCUUGACGAAUCAGAUUACCACAUGGCUAAGUGAUGGCCUUGCUGUACAGGCAGACCUCCUGUCUCCAGUUGAUGACUCGUCCCUGUCUGAAGUGCUUCAUUUACAUGCAUUUCUUCUUCGGGCUGGACUCCUGAUGACUUCAUGACCAUAUCCAUGUAGUUUUAUUAACAAUAAUACAAUACUGAAGUGAUUUGCAAUUGUCUUCCUCCAUGCUUAGUUUCUUAAAGUAGUCAAGGGACUACUGAAUGACCAUUGAUAAGACCAUCCUUCACCAUGGUAUUUGAUAUCAUCAAUAUGCUGAUGAUAUUUAACUUUGUAUCUCCACCUCUGGUGAUCCAAAUGAUGCUGUGACUGCCCUCUCAUGGUACUUGGUGGCUGGUGAGGGCCUGGAUUAGGGACAACAAGCUUUGGCUGGCAAGACCGAAUGGCUUUGGGUGCAUGAAGCUUCAAGAUCUGGGGUUUUAACAUCUUUAGCUCUGGAUGGGAUGGCAUUACCUCAGACAGACACGGUCUACAGUUUGAAGAUUCUCCUGGACUCAUGAUUUCUGCUCAAAGAGCAGGUGGCAGUCGUGGCUUAGGAGAGCAUUUGCACUUUGUCUUGUGCACCAGCUGCGGUCUUUUCUGGAUCAGGAGUCCCUGCGCCCAGUCAUUCAAGCCCUAGUCAUCUUACAGUUGGACUACUGCAAUGUGCUCUAAAUGGGGCUACCUUAAAGAGCAAUUGGAAGCUAUAGCUGAUGCAGCACAGGGACUUCUUAGGACCUAUUACAUCACUAUUCCAUGAGCUGCACUGGUUGUUGGUUUACUUUCAGGUGCAAUACAAGGUGCUUGGUUAUUACCUUUAAAGCCCUACAUGGUCCAGGUUACUUGAGGAACCAUCUCACCCUGGUGGGACUGGCCCACCCCACAUGCAUCUGUAGAGGGGGCAUACUGCAAAUCCUACCAGUCAAGGAAUUUCAGCUGGGGGGUGGUGUCCAGGAGAAGAGCCUUCUCUGCCAUGGCUCCUGCACUUCGGAAUAUCUUAUCCCCAAAAGUGAGAUCAGCUUCUACUCAUCUGACUUUCCAUAAGAGCCUUAAGACCUAGUUCUGACAGAUGACUUGGGGCCUCAGUUGGGGGAGUUUUAAACUGGAGCUGAUUGAUUAAGUAAGAGCCAAUCCCACCUCGCCCCCUGCAUCUGGCUGUUUCCUUCUCCAACUUGUGUCAAUGAUUUAAUUCUGGUGGUACUGGGAUUUUAUUGGAUGUAUAUUUAUAUUUGAUGAUUUUGAUGGUUUUUAUGAUGAAAGCUGCCCAUGGGUGCUUUGAAACAAGAUGGGUGGCAAAUAAAUUUAAUAAAUAAAUAAAUUUUGUCUGUAGGUAUUCAUAAUGGCAACUCCUCUAAGUAGAUGGGAUGCAUAGUAAAUUAACUUUUUGUCCAAUUAAAAAAUUCAUGUCCAACUUGCACUUUGGGAUUACAGGUUAAGUGUAUCGUACCUUUGUGGAUAAUACCUCCCAAAAUGUGCAUUUCUUCCUGAGCACAGCUAUUGCAAUGCUAAAAUCAAAAGCUUGACAAGAAGGCUAGUGUAUCUGGUAAAAAGAUUAAGUUUUCUCUCACUACACCUUCACCCCUCUCCCCGGAAGUGUAGUAUUCAUAUUAAAUAUUUAUUGUUUAGUGAAACGGAAGAAUAAACUUUUAACAAUAUUGAAAUUAUUUUUGCAGCUAUAUGAACAAAUGUACAUCACAUGAUUAUUUGUCAUUUGUUUACUUAUUCUUGUAAUUGAACUAAGUGGAAAAGCUUGUGAAUUGUGGUGGUUUGAAAAAUCUGAGGGGUUUCAAAAGGGGAAAGUGUGGUUAGGAGUAUUUGAGAAAGAUUCAACAAGUGGUACAAGAGGAGGCCGUUGAUAUACUAUCCAGUAGAAUCAGUGGAGGGAUUCAGAUACGUGAACAACCAGUUCUCUGUGUGGAUGCCGCUUCCGGAAGUCCAUUCUGAGCCUGGGCAACAAAAAAUUAGCUACCGGUUCUGCCGAAGUGGUGCGAACCAGCUGAAUCCCACCAUUGAGUGGACUACAAAAAGCUAGGCUGACUCGCUUUCUCCAAUUGUCUACCUGGUUACACUUUCCCUUUCAUAUUGGAUUUUCCCUCAGGAAAGCAAGGAGUGAGGCUGUAUUUGCUCACCUGCUUCAGGCACAAUUUUUUUUUUUAACUAGACCCCAUAAGAAAUUGUUGGAUUAUUAAACUAGGGAUGAUAUUUGAAGAAUUUUGCGGUGGCAUCAGACUGCUUCUGUGGGAAACAGGGUGCUAGACUAAAUAGAUGCUUUGUCUGAUUCAAGACGGCUCUUCUUAAUCUUUAUCAAUAAAUAAAGCAACUAUUUCAUUAAUUCAGAAUUAAGCGGUCAAACCACAUAAUGUAAUUUAAAUCUGUACUGCUUCAAUGCAUUUGGAUGAUGUCACCCAAAGUUUUUAGAACUUUUCCAAUCCAUGUUAAGAUCUCUGCAGAAAGAUUGCCUUGAAAGACGUAAUGACAAUGAAAGCUUUGCAAGUUUCUGCUAAAGUGGUUUUGUAUUAAUGGCUAUUGCAUACAAUUUAAUACAACAAAAAGGAACGAGAAAUAUUUUUUUAAUUGGAACAAAAAUGGGAAAACUAAAUUCUUCAAAGGCUGGAUUAGAAGUGUUAUGAUUCAUAAGCAUGAAAAACUAUUUCUCUGAUCCAUGUUUUUACCAAAACAGUGGUGUUAUUACUAAUAUUAGAUUUGUAAUUAUAAUGAGAAAAAUUAUGUGUAUGAGUACUAACUCCGAUUUUUCUGAUUUACCUAUUACUUUAUUUUCACCAUUAUUUUUAUAUUAUCAUCUAUGUGCUGUGUUUUUGUGGAGUAAGUAUUUCAUAUAAGUUAUUUUUGUAUGAAUGGUAUUCUAUUUGAAUGUAAUAUUUAAACUUGCAUUUCUAAAUGUAAUUGUCCUGAAUUGAGAAACAAAAUGUAAACGCUGAUGUUUUUUAAUGUUAUAUUUUUAUAUAUAUAGACAGUUGGUUCCUCUGCUUCCUACUUUCUUAGAGUAUUUAUUCUUUUCUGGAAGAGGAAAAGGAGAGUUUUGAACACAUAAUUUUUUCCCAUGAAUUAAAUGGCACAAGCUAUUUGAUUCUGAUCUACAUUGGGACAUACAGUAUAUUAAUUUAAUUAAUGAAAUUUAUAUGUUGCCUAACUUCCAACCACUCUCUAACAAGAAGCUGUUUUAUAUGUCACUC